GCGUGAAUGAUGAAGGCCUUAGGGUUGUAAAGUUCUUUCACCUGUGACGAUAAUGACGGUAGCAGGAGAAGAAGCCCCGGCUAACUCCGUGCCAGCAGCCGCGGUAAGACGGAGGGGGCUAGCGUUGUUCGGAAUGACUGGGCGUAAAGGGCGCGUAGGCGGUUUUUUAAGUGAGGCGUGAAAGCCCUGGGCUUAACCCAGGAGGUGCGUUUCAUACUGGAAGACUUGAGUACGAGAGAGGUAAGUGGAAUUCCUAGUGUAGAGGUGAAAUUCGU
This 275-nucleotide ribosomal RNA is filed under the name uncultured bacterium. Its description in RNAcentral is "partial 16S ribosomal RNA". It matches the Rfam family "Bacterial small subunit ribosomal RNA", at positions 399 to 691 of the family's 1533-position model. The record is from RNAcentral.